CUCAUCCCAUGUCUCAUGUCACUCGUCUGCAACCUUCACUGGAUAAACGCCAUGGAAACGGCAGGUUUAAUGACAACAGAGGUUUUCAGACCACUUGAGGCACUUCUGAAUUACACAGUCUUUAGUUUUUGAACCCUGAAGGCUAAGAAUGGACUCUUUUGUUAUCUGUGUUCUGCUGUGUCAUCCUUCCUCUGGAGCAGAGAAGAUGCAGUGCCCUGGCUGCCCAAGCUGAGGGAAGGUCACAGGGAACAAAGGAUCGACAGAGGGAAAACCCUGUUAUUAUCUCAAAAUUUUAUUCAGUCACGAAUGCUUUUGUUCUAUUUGCCACUCCAUUCAGAGCUCCACUACUAUU
Long non-coding RNA from Hyaena hyaena (striped hyena), 352 nucleotides. RefSeq lists it as uncharacterized. NCBI's taxonomy places the organism in Eukaryota, Metazoa, Chordata, Mammalia, Carnivora, Hyaenidae. The transcript is spliced from 3 exons. The record is from RefSeq and is a predicted model, not a curated record.